This 254-nucleotide ribosomal RNA is filed under the name uncultured bacterium. Its description in RNAcentral is "partial 16S ribosomal RNA". It matches the Rfam family "Bacterial small subunit ribosomal RNA", at positions 524 to 776 of the family's 1533-position model. The record is from RNAcentral.
UACGUAGGUGGCAAGCGUUGUCCGGAUUUAUUGGGCGUAAAGAGCUCGUAGGCGGCUUAGUAAGUCGGGUGUGAAACCUCCAGGCUCAACCUGGAGACGCCACCCGAUACUGCUGUGGCUAGAGUCCGGUAGGGGAGCGUGGAAUUCCUGGUGUAGCGGUGAAAUGCGCAGAUAUCAGGAGGAACACCAGCGGCGAAGGCGGCGCUCUGGGCCGGUACUGACGCUGAGGAGCGAAAGCGUGGGGAGCAAACAGG